CUCUUCGAUUUCUGGCGAUCACUCUCUCAAUCUCAAGCUCUCAUCGGCAUGGAGCCAUAUUAUGAUUCCCUACAAAAGUUUGCGUCCUCUUGUUUUUUUUAGGAGCUAUGGUAGUUGAUCGGCCAACUAGUUAUUGAAAUUGCAAACAUUAUCCUUGUUUUUGUUUUGCUAAUCUUUGCUCCAAAUCAUGUAUAUGUGACAAAGACACAAGCAUUAAAAACAGAUUGCUAAUUGUGUCAUAUUGGACUCUUUAUUAUGAACAGAGGAGAUUAGAAAGACAAUCAUUUAUGUGUA
This is a long non-coding RNA of Humulus lupulus (European hop), 294 nucleotides long. RefSeq lists it as uncharacterized. Lineage: Eukaryota; Viridiplantae; Streptophyta; Magnoliopsida; Rosales; Cannabaceae. The record is from RefSeq and is a predicted model, not a curated record. The transcript is spliced from 2 exons.